GGUUAAGUUAGAAAGGGCGCACGGUGGAUGCCUUGACACUAGGAGUCGAUGAAGGACGGGACUAACGCCGAUAUGCUUCGGGGAGCUGUAAGUAAGCUUUGAUCCGAAGAUUUCCGAAUGGGGAAACCCACCAUACGUAAUGGUAUGGUAUCCUUAUCUGAAUACAUAGGGUAAGGAAGACAGACCCAGGGAACUGAAACAUCUAAGUACCUGGAGGAAGAGAAAGCAAAUGCGAUUUCCUGAGUAGCGGCGAGCGAAACGGAACAUAGCCCAAACCAAGAGGCUUGCCUCUUGGGGUUGUAGGACAUUCUAUACGGAGUUACAAAGGAACGAGGUAGACGAAGCGACCUGGAAAGGUCCGUCGUAGAGGGUAACAACCCCGUAGUCGAAACUUCGUUCUCUCUUGAAUGUAUCCUGAGUACGGCGGAACACGUGAAAUUCCGUCGGAAUCUGGGAGGACCAUCUCCUAAGGCUAAAUACUCCCUAGUGAUCGAUAGUGAACCAGUACCGUGAGGGAAAGGUGAAAAGCACCCCGGAAGGGGAGUGAAAGAGAUCCUGAAACCGUGUGCCUACAAAUAGUCAGAGCCCGUUAACGGGUGAUGGCGUGCCUUUUGUAGAAUGAACCGGCGAGUUACGAUCCCGUGCGAGGUUAAGCUGAAGAGGCGGAGCCGCAGCGAAAGCGAGUCUGAAUAGGGCGUUUAGUACGUGGUCGUAGACCCGAAACCAGGUGAUCUACCCAUGUCCAGGGUGAAGUUCAGGUAACACUGAAUGGAGGCCCGAACCCACGCACGUUGAAAAGUGCGGGGAUGAGGUGUGGGUAGCGGAGAAAUUCCAAUCGAACCUGGAGAUAGCUGGUUCUCCCCGAAAUAGCUUUAGGGCUAGCCUUAAGUGUAAGAGUCUUGGAGGUAGAGCACUGAUUGGACUAGGGGUCCUCAUCGGAUUACCGAAUUCAGUCAAACUCCGAAUGCCAAUGACUUAUCCUUAGGAGUCAGACUGCGAGUGAUAAGAUCCGUAGUCAAAAGGGAAACAGCCCAGACCGCCAGCUAAGGUCCCAAAGUGUGUAUUAAGUGGAAAAGGAUGUGGAGUUGCUUAGACAACUAGGAUGUUGGCUUAGAAGCAGCCACCAUUUAAAGAGUGCGUAAUAGCUCACUAGUCGAGUGACUCUGCGCCGAAAAUGUACCGGGGCUAAAUACACCACCGAAGCUGCGGAUUGAUACCAAUGGUAUCAGUGGUAGGGGAGCGUUCUAAGGACAGUGAAGUCAGACCGGAAGGACUGGUGGAGUGCUUAGAAGUGAGAAUGCCGGUAUGAGUAGCGAAAGACGGGUGAGAAUCCCGUCCACCGAAUGCCUAAGGUUUCCUGAGGAAGGCUCGUCCGCUCAGGGUUAGUCAGGACCUAAGCCGAGGCCGACAGGCGUAGGCGAUGGACAACAGGUUGAUAUUCCUGUACCACCUCUUUAUCGUUUGAGCAAUGGAGGGACGCAGAAGGAUAGAAGAAGCGUGCGAUUGGUUGUGCACGUCCAAGCAGUUAGGCUGAUAAGUAGGCAAAUCCGCUUAUCGUGAAGGCUGAGCUGUGAUGGGGAAGCUCCUUAUGGAGCGAAGUCUUUGAUUCCCCGCUGCCAAGAAAAGCUUCUAGCGAGAUAAAAGGUGCCUGUACCGCAAACCGACACAGGUAGGCGAGGAGAGAAUCCUAAGGUGUGCGAGAGAACUCUGGUUAAGGAACUCGGCAAAAUGACCCCGUAACUUCGGGAGAAGGGGUGCUUUCUUAACGGAAAGCCGCAGUGAAUAGGCCCAAGCGACUGUUUAGCAAAAACACAGCUCUCUGCGAAGCCGUAAGGCGAAGUAUAGGGGGUGACACCUGCCCGGUGCUGGAAGGUUAAGGAGAGGGGUUAGCGUAAGCGAAGCUCUGAACUGAAGCCCCAGUAAACGGCGGCCGUAACUAUAACGGUCCUAAGGUAGCGAAAUUCCUUGUCGGGUAAGUUCCGACCCGCACGAAAGGUGUAACGAUUUGGGCACUGUCUCAACCAGAGACUCGGUGAAAUUAUAGUACCUGUGAAGAUGCAGGUUACCCGCGACAGGACGGAAAGACCCCGUGGAGCUUUACUGUAGCCUGAUAUUGAAUUUUGGUACAGUUUGUACAGGAUAGGCGGGAGCCUUUGAAACCGGAGCGCUAGCUUCGGUGGAGGCGCUGGUGGGAUACCGCCCUGACUGUAUUGAAAUUCUAACCUACGGGUCUUAUCGACCCGGGAGACAGUGUCAGGUGGGCAGUUUGACUGGGGCGGUCGCCUCCUAAAGUGUAACGGAGGCGCCCAAAGGUUCCCUCAGAAUGGUUGGAAAUCAUUCGUAGAGUGCAAAGGCAUAAGGGAGCUUGACUGCGAGACCUACAAGUCGAGCAGGGACGAAAGUCGGGCUUAGUGAUCCGGUGGUUCCGCAUGGAAGGGCCAUCGCUCAACGGAUAAAAGCUACCCCGGGGAUAACAGGCUUAUCUCCCCAAGAGUCCACAUCGACGGGGAGGUUUGGCACCUCGAUGUCGGCUCAUCGCAUCCUGGGGCUGUAGUCGGUCCCAAGGGUUGGGCUGUUCGCCCAUUAAAGCGGUACGCGAGCUGGGUUCAGAACGUCGUGAGACAGUUCGGUCCCUAUCCGUCGUGGGCGUAGGAAAUUUGAGAGGAGCUGUCCUUAGUACGAGAGGACCGGGAUGGACGCACCGCUGGUGUACCAGUUGUUCUGCCAAGGGCAUAGCUGGGUAGCUAUGUGCGGAAGGGAUAAGUGCUGAAAGCAUCUAAGCAUGAAGCCCCCCUCAAGAUGAGAUUUCCCAUAGCGUAAGCUAGUAAGAUCCCUGAAAGAUGAUCAGGUUGAUAGGUUCGAGGUGGAAGCAUGGUGACAUGUGGAGCUGACGAAUACUAAUAGAUCGAGGACUUAACCAU
Molecule: ribosomal RNA, 2921 nt
Filed under: Bacillus cereus
Lineage: Bacteria; Bacillati; Bacillota; Bacilli; Caryophanales; Bacillaceae
Description: 23S ribosomal RNA
Rfam family: Bacterial large subunit ribosomal RNA
Source: RNAcentral